RNAcentral lists this ribosomal RNA (1815 nucleotides) under Triticum aestivum (bread wheat). RNAcentral's name for it is "partial small subunit ribosomal RNA". Lineage: Eukaryota; Viridiplantae; Streptophyta; Magnoliopsida; Poales; Poaceae. The record is from RNAcentral.
AUGCCGAAACAUAUGCCGAAAGGAGGCAUCGCCGACGACGGUUCCAAGACCGCCGAGCAGAGCUCGGCUGAGGACACCCGUGCGGCGGACGCGCUCGCGCUGCGAGGCAGGCCGGGAGGUGAGCUGGGUGCGCCACGCUCCGUGCGAGAUGUGGGCAUGUCCAGUACCUCCUUCCCUCUCCUCACGCGGACCAACUACCCCAGUUGGUCCGUCAUGAUGAAAGUCAUCAUGGAGGCGCGGCAUAUGUGGAAAGCCGUGGAAACCGGCGAUGUCGAGUACGAGGAGGACCGGCUGGCGAUGGAGGCGAUCUUGCGCUCCGUCCCAGAGGAGAUGGUGCUCACCCUUGGCGCCAAGAAGACGGCCAAGGAAGCAUGGGAGACCAUCAAGACUCUGCGCAUCGGCGUGGAGCGCGUACGGGAGUCGAAGGCCCAGACCUUGCGCCUCCAGUACGAGGAGAUCCGGUUCAAGGCCGGCGAACAAGUCGACGACUUCGCCUUGCGGCUGCAAGGUCUCGUCAACGAGCUCGCAACGCUUGGAGAUCCCAUCGACAACAAGAUGGUGAUUCUCAAGUUUCUCCGCGUCGUCCCCAGGCAGUACAAGCAACUGGCCUGGUCCAUCGAGAGCUUGGUUGAUCUCUCCACCAUGACGAUCGAGGAGCUGGUAGGGCGGCUGAAGGUCGUCGAGGAGCGCGGUGAAGACGCCAACAACCGUGCUGGCGGCGAACUACUGCUCACCAGGGAGCAGUGGGACGUGCAGCUUCAGCAGCGCGGCCGCGACGGCUCUUCCGGCAGUGGGGGAGGCACCCCCACGGGAAGCAGAGGUCGCGGCAGAGGCGGAGGCCGCGCCCAAAGCGGUGGCGGCAACCGCGGUCGCAGGCCAAGCCAGGCAGGGCGAGGCGCUGGCAACGGUGGCAAGUGCCGCUACUGCAACAUGCCGGGUCACUGGAUCCGGGAUUUCCACAGGAGGAAAGCCGACGAGGCAGCCGCGGCAACGGCAAACCUCGUCCAGGCUGACGUGGAUGGUGGGCCGGCAAUGAUGCUGGCAAGAGUCGAGCCCGUGCAGGAGAGCUCAGCGUCUCCCACGACCACGGCCCCGGCAUCCACCCAUUCCGUGGAGGAGGCACGGAGCCCGUCCACGGGAACCAUCACUCCAGUGACAGGCCACAUCUUGACAACGACGUUCUCGGGGCCUGUCGACUGGGAGGCGAUGAAGGCUCGGGUGUGGGGGAGCCACACCCCAGCGACGGCGUCCCCGACAACCUCGGGACCCGACAAGAUCGCGCAAGUUGGCGCGGCAACGACGCAUAUGGCGGACCAUGCUCCGACCAUGAUGCUGGCGACCAUCGACUCCGUGCAGGAGCGCACGGAGACUCAAGUCAGCCACACCCCGACAACAAAGUGUUCGGGGUCCACCGUGUUGUCAGGAGAUGGCUCCCUGACAACGGCAUGUGCGUGCGGCUACGUCUUCCUCAACGAGGAGAGAGCCUUGACCACACCCACGCUUGCAGGCGGCAAGCAAAGUGAGGGUUGGUUCCUCGACACCGGCGCCAUGAACCACAUGACUGGUUCCAUCGACGCGUUCGCGGAGCUAGACCGCUCAAUCACCGGGAAGGUGCAGUUCGCGGACGGAUCCGUGGUGGAGAUCCACGGGCGCGGGACCGUCGUCUUCGCCGACAAAGGGGGUGAUCACAGGGCGUUCACGGACGUCUACUUCAUCCCGGCGCUCACGAGCAGCGUCGUGAGUGUCGGACAACUCGACGAGGGCUGGUUCGACAUCGGCAUCCGGCGCGGUGUUCUCACCGUGCACGACCAGUAG